RNAcentral lists this ribosomal RNA (495 nucleotides) under uncultured Massilia sp. RNAcentral describes it as "partial 16S ribosomal RNA". The record is from RNAcentral. Lineage: Bacteria; Pseudomonadati; Pseudomonadota; Betaproteobacteria; Burkholderiales; Oxalobacteraceae.
CACGUAGUUAGCCGGUGCUUAUUCUUCAGGUACCGUCAUUAAGAAUGGAUAUUAGCCACUCCCGUUUCUUCCCUGACAAAAGAGCUUUACAACCCGAAGGCCUUCUUCACUCACGCGGCAUUGCUGGAUCAGGCUUGCGCCCAUUGUCCAAAAUUCCCCACUGCUGCCUCCCGUAGGAGUCUGGACCGUGUCUCAGUUCCAGUGUGGCUGGUCGUCCUCUCAGACCAGCUACUGAUCGUCGCCUUGGUGAGCCUUUACCUCACCAACUAGCUAAUCAGAUAUCGGCCGCUCCAGGAGCACAAGGUCCGAAGAUCCCCUGCUUUCAUCCUUAGAUCGUAUGCGGUAUUAGCGUAACUUUCGCUACGUUAUCCCCCACUCUUGGGUACGUUCCGAUAUAUUACUCACCCGUUCGCCACUCGUCAGCGGAGCAAGCUCCCUGUUACCGUUCGACUUGCAUGUGUAAAGCAUGCCGCCAGCGUUCAAUCUGAGCCAGGA